UUGGGCGUAAGCGCGCGCAGGUGGUUUCUUAAGUCUGAUGUGAACGCCCCCCCCUUUAGGGGGAGGGUCAUUGGAAACUGGGAGACUUGAGUCCCUUUAAGAGAAGUGGAAUUCCAUGUGUAGCGGUGAAAUGCGUAAAGAUAUGGAGGACACCAGUGGCGAAGGCUACUUUCUGGUCUGUAACUGACGCUGAGGCGCGAAAGCGUGGGGAGCAAACAGGAUUAGAUACCCUGGUAGUCCACGCCGUAAACGAUGAGUGCUAAGUGUUAGAGGGUUUCCGCCCUUUAGUGCUGAAGUUAACGCAUUAAGCACUCCGCCUGGGGAGUACGGCCGCAAGGCUGAAACUCAAAGGAAUUGACGGGGGCCCGCACAAGCGGUGGAGCAUGUGGUUUAAUUCGAAUUUUUUUUUAAGAACCUUACCAGGUCUUGACUUCCUCUGACGGCCCUAGAGAUAGGGCUUCUCCUUCGGGAGCAGAGUGACAGGUGGUGCUUGGUUGUCGUCAGCUCGUGUCGUGAGAUGUUGGGUUAAGUCCCGCAACGAGCGCAACCCUUGAUCUUAGUUGCCAUCAUUAAGUUGGGCACUCUAAAGUGACUGCCGGUGAGAAAACGGAGGAAAGGGGGGAUGACGUCAAAUCCUCUUGUCCCUUAUGACCUGGGCUACACACGUGCUACAAUG
RNAcentral lists this ribosomal RNA (676 nucleotides) under Bacillus cereus. Its description in RNAcentral is "bacterial SSU rRNA". It matches the Rfam family "Bacterial small subunit ribosomal RNA", at positions 554 to 1232 of the family's 1533-position model. The record is from RNAcentral. Lineage: Bacteria; Bacillati; Bacillota; Bacilli; Caryophanales; Bacillaceae.